Long non-coding RNA from Oncorhynchus tshawytscha (Chinook salmon), 986 nucleotides. The record is from Ensembl. NCBI's taxonomy places the organism in Eukaryota, Metazoa, Chordata, Actinopteri, Salmoniformes, Salmonidae.
GUGGAGGCUAUAUACAGGGGGUACCGGUACAGAGUCAAUGUGGAGGCUAUAUACAGGGUGUUAUGGUACAGAGUCAAUGUGGAGACUAUAUACAGGGUGUUACGGUACAGAGUCAAUGUGGAGGCUAUAUACAGGGUAUUACGGUACAGAGUCAAUGUGGAGGCUAUAUACAGGGUAUUACGGAACAGAGUCAAUGUGGAGGCUAUAUACAGGGUAUUACGGAACAGAGUCAAUGUGGAGGCUAUAUACAGGGUAUUACGGUACAGAGUCAAUGUGGAGGCUAUAUACAGGGUGUUACGGUACAGAGUCAAUGUGGAGGCUAUAUACAGGGUAUUACGGUACAGUGUCAAUGUGGAGGCUAUAUACAGGGUGUACCGGUACAGAGUCAAUGUGGAGGCUAUAUACAGGGUGUUACGGUACAGAGUCCAUGUGGAGGCUAUAUACAGGGUGUACCGGUACAGAGUCAAUGUGGAGGCUAUAUACAGGGGGUACCGGUACAGAAUCAAUGUGGAGGCUAUAUACAGGGUGUUACGGUACAGAGUCCAUGUGGAGGCUAUAUACAGGUUGUACCGGUACAGAGUCAAUGUGGAGGCUAUAUACAAGGGGUACCGGUACAGAGUCAAUGUGGAGACUAUAUACAGGGUGUUACGGUACAGAGUCAAUGUGGAGGCUAUAUACAGGGUGUUACUGUACAGAGUCAAUGUGGAGGCUAUAUACAGGGUGUUACGGUACAGAGUCAAUGUGGAGGCUAUAUACAGGGUGUUACGGUACAGAGUCAAUGUGGAGGCUAUAUACAGGGUGUUACGGUACAGAGUCAAUGUGGAGAAUAUAUACAGGGGGUACCGGUACAGAGUCAAUGAGGAGGCUAUAUACAGGGUGUUACGGUACAGAGUCAAUGUGGAGGCUAUAUACAGGGUGUUAAGGUACAGAGUCAAUGUGGAGGCUAUAUACAGGAAAAGGUUGUUGUCCUUGCACCACACAGUCAG